Molecule: unclassified non-coding RNA, 376 nt
Filed under: soil metagenome
Description: partial contains 5.8S ribosomal RNA, internal transcribed spacer 2, and large subunit ribosomal RNA
Rfam family: 5.8S ribosomal RNA (bases 1-120)
Source: RNAcentral
GAUGAAGAACGCAGCGAAAUGCGAUAAGUAAUGUGAAUUGCAGAAUUCAGUGAAUCAUCGAAUCUUCGAACGCAUCUUGCGCUCCUUGGUAUUCUGAGGAGCAUGCCUGUUUGAGUGUCAUUAAAUUCUCAACUACACUGACUUUGAAUUGGUGUGGCUUGGAUUUGGGGGGAAAAUUGUUGUGGGCUUUUUGUAUAGUCUGCUCCCCUGAAAUUGAUUAGCGGUACCUUUGUGGAACUGUCUACAGGUGUGAUAAUUAUCUACAUCUUAGACAUCUGCUGGAAUGCUGCUUUCUAAACCUUACUUGUAUUGACAAUCUUGACCUCAAAUCAGGUAGGACUACCCGCUGAACUUAAGCAUAUCAAUAAGCGGAGGA